AGUGAACGCUGGCGGUAGGCCUAACACAUGCAAGUCGAACGGCAGCACAGUAAGAGCUUGCUCUUACGGGUGGCGAGUGGCGGACGGGUGAGGAAUACAUCGGAAUCUACUUUUUCGUGGGGGAUAACGUAGGGAAACUUACGCUAAUACCGCAUACGACCUACGGGUGAAAGCAGGGGAUCUUCGCACCUUGCGCGAUCGAAUGAGCCGAUGUCGGAUUAGCUAGUUGGCGGGGUAAAGGCCCACCAAGGCGACGAUCCGUAGCUGGUCUGAGAGGAUGAUCAGCCACACUGGAACUGAGACACGGUCCAGACCGCCACGGGAGGGAGCAGUGGGGAAUAUUGGACAAUGGGCGCAAGCUGGAUCCAGCCAUACCGCGUGGGUGAAGAAGGCCUUCGGGUUGUAAAGCCUUUUUGUGGGGGAAGAAAAUCAGCAGGUUAAUACCCCGCUGUUCUGACGGUACCCAAAGAAUAAGCACCGGCUAACUUCGUG
This 492-nucleotide ribosomal RNA is filed under the name uncultured bacterium. Its description in RNAcentral is "partial 16S ribosomal RNA". It matches the Rfam family "Bacterial small subunit ribosomal RNA", at positions 29 to 507 of the family's 1533-position model. The record is from RNAcentral.